Molecule: ribosomal RNA, 377 nt
Filed under: uncultured cyanobacterium
Lineage: Bacteria; Bacillati; Cyanobacteriota
Description: bacterial SSU rRNA
Rfam family: Bacterial small subunit ribosomal RNA
Source: RNAcentral
CGCAAGCCUGACGGAGCAAGACCGCGUGCGGGAUGACGGCCUAAUGGUUGUAAACCGCUUUUCUCUGGGAAGAUGAUGACGGUACCAGAGGAAUCAGCCUCGGCUAACUCCGUGCCAGCAGCCGCGGUAAUACGGAGGAGGCAAGCGUUAUCCGGAAUUAUUGGGCGUAAAGCGUCCGCAGGGGGCACAUCAAGUCUGCUGUUAAAGGCUGGAGCUUAACUCCGGUAGAGCAGUGGAAACUGGUGUGCUAGAGGGCGACAGGGGUAGAGGGAAUUCCCAGUGUAGCGGUGAAACGCGUAGAGAUUGGGAAGAACACCGGUGGCGAAAGCGCUCUACUGGGUCGCACCUGACCCUCAGGGACGAAAGCUAAGGUAGCG